RNAcentral lists this long non-coding RNA (548 nucleotides) under Manihot esculenta (cassava). RNAcentral's name for it is "long non-coding RNA (MESC_LNC001554)". The record is from RNAcentral. Lineage: Eukaryota; Viridiplantae; Streptophyta; Magnoliopsida; Malpighiales; Euphorbiaceae.
GCAGCCCCUCCACUUGCUCCAGUUGCCCCCACUGCUCCAACUUCUUCAAGUUCUGUUCCUGGAUCGAGUGCUAGUCGAUCUGCAUCCUCAUCCUCAUCACAUGCUACUAGGACCUACUGUUAUGUGCAUGCAAGCGGAAAGUAAGUAUAAUGUAUAACAUUACUUAUCAUUGUAUUACAUAUCUUUGUUAUUAGUUUUUAUUUUGGUUAAUUAUUUAAAAAUAAUUAUAUUGAAUAUUUAUAAAUUAUGCUCGCAUUGUUAAACUAUUACAGUCUUAUGCCUUCUGAGAAGACAUCUGGUGCCUGCAUAAAGAUUUUUCAAAAGUACAAUAUCGAGGAGGGUUCUUCCUGGAAGAAUAUCCCACAAUCCACAAAAGAUUUUUAUUUCAGAGAGUUUGAGGUACGCAAUAUAUUAUGCAUUCUAACAAAGAUAAAAUGUCUUAUAAUCUAUGUUGUAUUGUACAUGUGUUUUUUAAAUUAAUUUACAGAAAGAAUUUCACUAGGAUGAGGGAAGUGCUGCAAUAGUGAGGAAGGCAUGGAAUAAAAAAG